GUAAUGAAUGGCUAAGCGGUCAAAUCGUAAGUCUUCCGAUCUGAAGGUCUUGGGUUCAAGUCCAGAGCUUAACG
RNAcentral lists this transfer RNA (74 nucleotides) under Trichomalopsis sarcophagae. RNAcentral's name for it is "tRNA-OTHER". The record is from RNAcentral. Lineage: Eukaryota; Metazoa; Arthropoda; Insecta; Hymenoptera; Pteromalidae.